RNAcentral lists this ribosomal RNA (2289 nucleotides) under Yersinia pestis. RNAcentral's name for it is "bacterial LSU rRNA". It matches the Rfam family "Bacterial large subunit ribosomal RNA", at positions 680 to 2925 of the family's 2925-position model. Lineage: Bacteria; Pseudomonadati; Pseudomonadota; Gammaproteobacteria; Enterobacterales; Yersiniaceae. The record is from RNAcentral.
AGUCUUAACUGGGCGUCUAGUUGCAAGGUAUAGACCCGAAACCCGGUGAUCUAGCCAUGGGCAGGUUGAAGGUUGGGUAACACUAACUGGAGGACCGAACCGACUAAUGUUGAAAAAUUAGCGGAUGACUUGUGGCUGGGGGUGAAAGGCCAAUCAAACCGGGAGAUAGCUGGUUCUCCCCGAAAGCUAUUUAGGUAGCGCCUCGUGAACUCAUCUUCGGGGGUAGAGCACUGUUUCGGCUAGGGGGCCAUCCCGGCUUACCAAACCGAUGCAAACUCCGAAUACCGAAGAAUGUUAUCACGGGAGACACACGGCGGGUGCUAACGUCCGUCGUGAAGAGGGAAACAACCCAGACCGCCAGCUAAGGUCCCAAAGUCAUGGUUAAGUGGGAAACGAUGUGGGAAGGCACAGACAGCCAGGAUGUUGGCUUAGAAGCAGCCAUCAUUUAAAGAAAGCGUAAUAGCUCACUGGUCGAGUCGGCCUGCGCGGAAGAUGUAACGGGGCUAAACCAUGCACCGAAGCUGCGGCAGCGACACUUAGGUGUUGUUGGGUAGGGGAGCGUUCUGUAAGCCGUUGAAGGUGACCUGUGAGGGUUGCUGGAGGUAUCAGAAGUGCGAAUGCUGACAUAAGUAACGAUAAUGCGGGUGAAAAACCCGCACGCCGGAAGACCAAGGGUUCCUGUCCAACGUUAAUCGGGGCAGGGUGAGUCGACCCCUAAGGCGAGGCUGAAAAGCGUAGUCGAUGGGAAACAGGUUAAUAUUCCUGUACUUGGUGUUACUGCGAAGGGGGGACGGAGAAGGCUAGGCUGGCCGGGCGACGGUUGUCCCGGUUUAAGCGUGUAGGGGGAGUGACCAGGUAAAUCCGGUUGCUUAUCAACCUGAGGCGUGAUGACGAUGCACCACGGUGCAGAAGCAGUUGAUGCCAUGCUUCCAGGAAAAGCCUCUAAGCAUCAGGUAACAUUAAAUCGUACCCCAAACCGACACAGGUGGUCAGGUAGAGAAUACUCAGGCGCUUGAGAGAACUCGGGUGAAGGAACUAGGCAAAAUGGUGCCGUAACUUCGGGAGAAGGCACGCUGGCGUUAGGUGAAAGGACUAGCUCCUGGAGCUGAAGCCAGUCGCAGAUACCAGCUGGCUGCAACUGUUUAAUAAAAACACAGCACUGUGCAAACACGAAAGUGGACGUAUACAGUGUGACGCCUGCCCGGUGCUGGAAGGUUAAUUGAUGGGGUCAGCCGCAAGGCGAAGCUCUUGAUCGAAGCCCCAGUAAACGGCGGCCGUAACUAUAACGGUCCUAAGGUAGCGAAAUUCCUUGUCGGGUAAGUUCCGACCUGCACGAAUGGCGUAAUGAUGGCCAGGCUGUCUCCACCCGAGACUCAGUGAAAUUGAACUCGCUGUGAAGAUGCAGUGUACCCGCGGCAAGACGGAAAGACCCCGUGAACCUUUACUAUAGCUUGACACUGAACAUUGAGCCUUGAUGUGUAGGAUAGGUGGGAGGCCUUGAAGUGUGGACGCCAGUCUGCAUGGAGCCAACCUUGAAAUACCACCCUUUAAUGUUUGAUGUUCUAACUCGGCCCCAUGAUCUGGGGUGAGGACAGUGUCUGGUGGGUAGUUUGACUGGGGCGGUCUCCUCCCAAAGAGUAACGGAGGAGCACGAAGGUUAGCUAAUCACGGUCGGACAUCGUGAGGUUAGUGCAAAGGCAUAAGCUAGCUUGACUGCGAGAGUGACGGCUCGAGCAGGUACGAAAGUAGGUCUUAGUGAUCCGGUGGUUCUGAAUGGAAGGGCCAUCGCUCAACGGAUAAAAGGUACUCCGGGGAUAACAGGCUGAUACCGCCCAAGAGUUCAUAUCGACGGCGGUGUUUGGCACCUCGAUGUCGGCUCAUCACAUCCUGGGGCUGAAGUAGGUCCCAAGGGUAUGGCUGUUCGCCAUUUAAAGUGGUACGCGAGCUGGGUUUAGAACGUCGUGAGACAGUUCGGUCCCUAUCUGCCGUGGGCGUUGGAAGAUUGAGAGGGGCUGCUCCUAGUACGAGAGGACCGGAGUGGACGAAUCACUGGUGUUCGGGUUGUCAUGCCAAUGGCAUUGCCCGGUAGCUAAAUUCGGAAGAGAUAACCGCUGAAAGCAUCUAAGCGGGAAACUUGCCUCGAGAUGAGUCUUCCCUGGGGCUUAAAGCCCCCUGAAGGAACGUUAAAGACUAUGACGUUGAUAGGCUGGGUGUGUAAGUGCAGCGAUGUAUUGAGCUAACCAGUACUAAUGAUCCGUGAGGCUUAACCUUACAACACCGAAGGUGUUU